This 365-nucleotide ribosomal RNA is filed under the name uncultured Glomus. RNAcentral's name for it is "eukaryotic LSU rRNA". Lineage: Eukaryota; Fungi; Glomeromycota; Glomeromycetes; Glomerales; Glomeraceae. The record is from RNAcentral.
GUGAAAUUGUUGAAAGGGAAACGAUUGAAGUCAGUCGUACAAGACAGGAAAUCAACCUUUCGGGCGCGGGUAAUUUAUCUGGGUCCCUGGGGAGUAUUUUCUUGUAUUGUAGGUUAGCGUCGAUUUCGAACGUUAUAAAAUAGAUCGGAGGAAUGUAGCUUCGACUCGGUUGAAGUGUUAUAGCCUCUGGUAGAUGUAACGAACGGGAUCGAGGAUUGCUAACGGAUACCCUUCGUGGGCUAUCGGCCUGACCUCUGAUCUGUCACUCUGGUUUUGAAAGCUAGCUUACGAUGUCGGAGCGUACGGUCAAAAGGAUAGAGCGGAUUAAAUUCGUUAAGGACGCUGACGUAAUGGCUUUAAACGAC